GUGGGGAAUUUUGGACAAUGGGCGCAAGCCUGAUCCAGCAAUGCCGCGUGCAGGAUGAAGGCCUUCGGGUUGUAAACUGCUUUUGUACGGAACGAAAAGGUUCUUUCUAAUAAAGAGAGCCCAUGACGGUACCGUAAGAAUAAGCACCGGCUAACUACGUGCCAGCAGCCGCGGUAAUACGUAGGGUGCGAGCGUUAAUCGGAAUUACUGGGCGUAAAGCGUGCGCAGGCGGUUAUGUAAGACAGAUGUGAAAUCCCCGGGCUCAACCUGGGACCUGCAUUUGUGACUGCAUAGCUAGAGUACGGUAGAGGGGGAUGGAAUUCCGCGUGUAGCAGUGAAAUGCGUAGAUAUGCGGAGGAACACCGAUGGCGAAGGCAAUCCCCUGGACCUGUACUGACGCUCAUGCACGAAAGCGUGGGGAGCAAACAGGAUUAGAAACCCUUGUAGUCC
This 450-nucleotide ribosomal RNA is filed under the name uncultured bacterium. RNAcentral describes it as "bacterial SSU rRNA". It matches the Rfam family "Bacterial small subunit ribosomal RNA", at positions 354 to 796 of the family's 1533-position model. The record is from RNAcentral.